This 437-nucleotide ribosomal RNA is filed under the name Anisepyris sp. RNAcentral describes it as "partial large subunit ribosomal RNA". The record is from RNAcentral. Lineage: Eukaryota; Metazoa; Arthropoda; Insecta; Hymenoptera; Bethylidae.
UUCUUUUAGAUUAAAAUUUAAAGUAAAUUCUGCUCAAUGAAUAUUAUUAAAUAGCUGCAGUAUUUUGACUGUACAAAGGUAGCAUAAUAAAUUGUUUUUUAAUUGAAAACUAGAAUGAAUGAAUUAAUGAAAUAAAAACUUUAUUUAAAUAAAAAAUUGAAUUUUAUUUUUAAGUUAAAAAGCUUAAAUUAAUUUAUAAGACGAUAAGACCCUAUAGAAUUUUAUUUAUUAUAAAAAAAUUAAUUUUAUAAUAAAUUAAUUUAAUUUAUAAUAAAUUUUUUUGGGAGGAAAAUUAAAUUUAAUAAACUUUUAUAAAUUAAUUACAAUUAUAAUUGUUAUUAAAGUUGAUGAAUUUAUUUAAUUAUAAUAAUUAAAUUAAAUUACCUUAGGGAUAACAGCGUAAUAUUUUUGGAUAGUUCAUAUUGAUAAAAAUGUUU